GUAGCGCAAUGGAUAGUGCGUUGGACUUAUCAUCCAAUGGUGGUGAGUUCGAAUCCCACUUACA
RNAcentral lists this transfer RNA (64 nucleotides) under Trichonephila inaurata madagascariensis. Its description in RNAcentral is "tRNA-Ile". It matches the Rfam family "tRNA", at positions 8 to 63 of the family's 71-position model. Rfam says of the family: Transfer RNA (tRNA) molecules are approximately 80 nucleotides in length. Their secondary structure includes four short double-helical elements and three loops (D, anti-codon, and T loops). Further hydrogen bonds mediate the characteristic L-shaped molecular structure. tRNAs have two regions of fundamental functional importance: the anti-codon, which is responsible for specific mRNA codon recognition, and the 3' end, to which the tRNAs corresponding amino acid is attached (by aminoacyl-tRNA synthetases). tRNAs cope with the degeneracy of the genetic code in two manners: having more than one tRNA (with a specific anti-codon) for a particular amino acid; and 'wobble' base-pairing, i.e. permitting non-standard base-pairing at the 3rd anti-codon position. Lineage: Eukaryota; Metazoa; Arthropoda; Arachnida; Araneae; Nephilidae. The record is from RNAcentral.